RNAcentral lists this ribosomal RNA (253 nucleotides) under uncultured bacterium. RNAcentral describes it as "partial 16S ribosomal RNA". It matches the Rfam family "Bacterial small subunit ribosomal RNA", at positions 524 to 776 of the family's 1533-position model. The record is from RNAcentral.
UACGGAGGGGGCUAGCGUUGUUCGGAAUUACUGGGCGUAAAGCGCGCGUAGGCGGCUUUGUAAGUUAGAGGUGAAAGCCCGAAGCUCAACUUCGGAAUUGCCUUUCAGACUGCAUCGCUAGAAUUGUGGAGAGGUAAGUGGAAUUCCGAGUGUAGAGGUGAAAUUCGUAGAUAUUCGGAAGAACACCAGUGGCGAAGGCGACUUACUGGACACAUAUUGACGCUGAGGUGCGAAAGCGUGGGGAGCAAACAGG